This 77-nucleotide transfer RNA is filed under the name Candidatus Onthousia faecigallinarum. RNAcentral describes it as "tRNA-Arg". It matches the Rfam family "tRNA". Rfam says of the family: Transfer RNA (tRNA) molecules are approximately 80 nucleotides in length. Their secondary structure includes four short double-helical elements and three loops (D, anti-codon, and T loops). The record is from RNAcentral. Lineage: Bacteria; Bacillati; Bacillota; Bacilli.
GUUCACGUAGCUCAGUUGGAUAGAGCGCUUCCCUCCGAAGGAAGAGGUCGUGGGUUCGACUCCCGUCGUGGACACCA